Molecule: long non-coding RNA, 294 nt
Organism: Vigna radiata var. radiata (mung bean)
Lineage: Eukaryota; Viridiplantae; Streptophyta; Magnoliopsida; Fabales; Fabaceae
Exons: 3
Source: RefSeq, a predicted model, not a curated record
ACGAACAUCAAAAUUUCAAAUUUUGCAAGAUGAAAGAUACGUCAAAGAAUUCAUUCAUAUUAGCAUUCUUAUUUGUAAUUCUCGCAACAGAAGUUUAUUAUGGUUAUUCAUCUUCAAUGGAAACAAACAGAAAAGAUGGUGUUAUAGUUGUAUGUCCAUGCAAAACAAAGAAGGAUUGUCUUCGCAAUAUUCGCUCUUUACCAUGCGGUCCGUCAGUAGUUUUUUGUUACGAAGGGUAUUGUCGUUGUAAUCAUAUAAACCAGGAACCAGGUAAUUUGUUUCCGAGAGAGGCAA